This 417-nucleotide long non-coding RNA is filed under the name Bos mutus (wild yak). RNAcentral's name for it is "lncRNA (ENSBMUG00000012906.1)". The record is from RNAcentral. Lineage: Eukaryota; Metazoa; Chordata; Mammalia; Artiodactyla; Bovidae.
GCCUGAGUGCGGUCGGCGCCAGAAGACAGCGCGCGGAUUGCCCCCAAGUUACGGAGGCAGGGACCGAGUUCGAAGGAAAAGCCACUACAAGAACCGGGUCGCGAGAGUGCAAUCGCCUCCGGUCUACCAGACCUCUGGACCGAGGUUCCCAGGGCGGCCGCCCUCAAAGGACAGGGGUUGGCCAGGGGCAGAGGAUGGGCAGCUGUUUUGGGUUCCUGCGUUGCUCUCCCAAGUUGUCACAAGGUGAUCCACGUAACUGAGUUACCACCUCCAGGAAAUCUCUCUGAUUUGGCUGCACAUAUUUUCAUUUCUGCAUGACUGGAAGAAAUUAAUUUUCCUUCCUACGCAAGGAUCUGGAGACGCCGGCAGGCUGGGUCAGUAAUCCGCAGGAUCCAAGCCCGUGAGGCUGCCCUAGGG